This 210-nucleotide transfer RNA is filed under the name Triticum aestivum (bread wheat). RNAcentral describes it as "partial small subunit ribosomal RNA". The record is from RNAcentral. Lineage: Eukaryota; Viridiplantae; Streptophyta; Magnoliopsida; Poales; Poaceae.
AUGACCUCGCUGAUGGAGAGGUAUUCGAACCCCCGGUAUUCCUAUCAAUACUUCAGUUUUCAAGACCGAUUCUUUCAACCGCUCAGACAUCCAUCCCUGCGCUCGCCCACCCUAUCUAUCUGCACGCUGGCAGGUAGGGGCAACUCUAUGUCAUUCGCUACGCUUGCUUGCGCCCCACCCCGUAAGCUGACUCUAUUGCCUAGCGGUUAG